UUCUUUUUCUGUCAAACUGAAUUGCAGAUGGCCAGAGGUUCAGAAUUACAAAGGUUGAUUUAGAAAAAGGUACCAAUGCUUUUGGAAAUUUCUCAAGCAAAUCACUCAAUGCACUCUUCCCUAGCCAAGACAUCAUCAGGAAGCAGUAAGGACUGAGUCCUGCUUCACCCACAGGCCCCCAGGCUGACGCUCGGCCUGGUCCCUCAGAAGGUGCCUGUGGGGGCGGCCGCCACCAGGAGAGGAAGGGAGACGUCUAAUGGCACCCUGGGUCCUCCAGGCACACGGAUACAUAGGAGCUCAGCCACCAGCUUGACCGAGAACCUGCCUCUUCUGUCAGUUGUACUUACACUUUUGUCUGCUUUUAUGCUGAUAAAAUGCCACUGACGUCAGCUACAGC
RNAcentral lists this long non-coding RNA (397 nucleotides) under Anas platyrhynchos (mallard). Its description in RNAcentral is "lncRNA (ENSAPLG00020002417.1)". The record is from RNAcentral. Lineage: Eukaryota; Metazoa; Chordata; Aves; Anseriformes; Anatidae.